GAUGAAGAACGUUAGCGAAAUGCGAUAAGUAAUGUGAAUUGCAGAAUUCAGUGAAUCAUCGAAUCUUUGAACGCACCUUGCACCCUUUGGCAUUCUGAAGGGUAUGCUCGUUUGAGUGUCAUUGUACUCUCACACUCCCGAUCUUUGCAUUGGGAGCAGUGGACUUGGGUUUGCUGCUUCACCGUCGCUUACCUCAAAUAGGUUAGUGCAACUCUUGGUUGGACAUAGUACGGCGUGAUAAGUGUUCUUCGCCGGUGCCUCGCAAAGAGGGUGGCCGAUCGGGAUGUUGUGCUCCAAACCGUCUUCGGACAAUCUCUGACGACUUGACCUCAAAUCGAGUAAGACUACCCGCUGAACUUAAGCAUAUCAAUAAGCGGAGGA
Molecule: unclassified non-coding RNA, 381 nt
Filed under: soil metagenome
Description: partial contains 5.8S ribosomal RNA, internal transcribed spacer 2, and large subunit ribosomal RNA
Rfam family: 5.8S ribosomal RNA (bases 1-121)
Source: RNAcentral